RNAcentral lists this ribosomal RNA (1203 nucleotides) under metagenome. RNAcentral describes it as "bacterial SSU rRNA". It matches the Rfam family "Bacterial small subunit ribosomal RNA", at positions 8 to 1242 of the family's 1533-position model. The record is from RNAcentral.
AGAGUUUGAUCCUGGCUCAGGAUGAACGCUGGCGGCGUGCCUAAUACAUGUAAGUCGAACGGAAGAUGUAGCAAUAUAUCUUUAGUGGCGAACGGGUGAGUAACGCGUUGGUGACCUGCCCCGAAGAGAGGGAUAACAGACCGAAAGGUUUGCUAAUACCGCGUAAUUUCCUUCUAGUUAGAGAGGAGGGAAGAAAGGCCGAAAGGCGCUUUGGGAGGGGCCUGCGUCCCAUCAGCUAGUUGGCGAGGUAAAAGCUCACCAAGGCGAUGACGGGUAGGGGACCUGAGAGGGUGACCCCCCACAAUGGAACUGAAACACGGUCCAUACACCUACGGGUGGCAGCAGUAGGGAAUAUUGGUUAAUGGGCGAAAGCCCGACCCAGCAACGCCGCGUGCACGAAGAAGGCCUUCGGGUUGUAAAGUGCUUUUUAGUGGGAUGAGGAAGGACAGUACCACUAGAAUAAGUCUCGGCUAACUACGUGCCAGCAGCCGCGGUAACACGUAGGAGACGAGCGUUAUCCGGAUUUACUGGGUGUAAAGCGCGUGCAGGCGGUCGGGUAAGUUGGAUGUGAAAGCUCCUGGCUUAACUGGGAGAGGUCGUUCAAAACUGCCGGGCUAGAGUGCAACAGAGGGGAGUGGAAUUCCGAGUGUAGCGGUAAAAUGCAUAGAUAUUCGGAAGAACACCAGUGGCGAAGGCGGCUCUCUGGGUUGCAACUGACGCUCAGACGCGAAAGCUAGGGUAGCGAACGGGAUUAGAGACCCCGGUAGUCCUAGCCGUAAACGAUGUGGACUUGGCGUGGGUGGGUUGAAAUCCAUCUGUGCCGAAGCAAACGCGAUAAGUCCACCACCUGGGGACUACGGCCGCAAGGUUAAAACUCAAAGGAAUUGACAGGGGCCCGCACAAGCAGCGGAGCGUGUGGUUUAAUUCGAUUUUACACGAAGAACCUUACCAGGGUUUGACAUGCAAGUGGUAGAGAAGCGAAAGUGGAUCGACCCUUCGGGGAGCUUGCACAGGUGUUGCAUGGCUGUCGUCAGCUCGUGUCGUGAGAUGUUCGGUUAAGUCCGCUAACGAGCGCAACCCACGUCGUGUGUUACAAGUGUCACACGAGACUGCCGGUCUUAAGCCGGAGGAAGGUGUGGAUGACGUCAAGUCAGCAUGACCUUUAUGUCCUGGGCUACACACACGCUACAAUGGCCGGUACAG